This 292-nucleotide ribosomal RNA is filed under the name uncultured bacterium. Its description in RNAcentral is "partial 16S ribosomal RNA". The record is from RNAcentral. RNAcentral also lists the same sequence under 2 other names.
GGACUACACGGGUUUCUAAUCCCGUUCGCUACCCUAGCUUUCGUGCCUCAGCGUCAGAAGAGAUCCAGUGAGCCGCUUUCGCCACCGGUGUUCCUUAGGAUAUCAACGCAUUUCACCGCUCCACCCUAAGUUCCGCUCACCUCUAUCUCCCUCGAGCACAGCAGUUUUGGGCGCAGUUCCUCGGUUAAGCCGAGGGAUUUCACACCCAACUUGCUGCGCAGCCUACGCACCCUUUAAGCCCAGUGAUUCCGAAUAACGUUCGUACGGUUCGUCUUACCGCGGCUGCUGGCAC